UACAGAGGUCCCAAGCGUUGUUCGGAUUCACUGGGCGUAAAGGGUGCGUAGGUGGUUGAAUAAGUUUGAUGUGAAAUCUCCGAGCUUAACUCGGAAACUGCAUUGAAUACUGUUUGACUAGAGGAUUGGAGGGGGGACUGGAAUUCUCGGUGUAGCAGUGAAAUGCGUAGAUAUCGAGAGGAACACCAGUGGCGAAGGCGAGUCCCUGGACAACUCCUGACACUGAGGCACGAAAGCUAGGGGAGCAGACAGG
This 253-nucleotide ribosomal RNA is filed under the name uncultured bacterium. Its description in RNAcentral is "partial 16S ribosomal RNA". It matches the Rfam family "Bacterial small subunit ribosomal RNA", at positions 524 to 776 of the family's 1533-position model. The record is from RNAcentral.